Molecule: long non-coding RNA, 2498 nt
Filed under: Mizuhopecten yessoensis (Yesso scallop)
Lineage: Eukaryota; Metazoa; Mollusca; Bivalvia; Pectinida; Pectinidae
Description: uncharacterized LOC110444559
Source: RNAcentral
AAAGGUGCAUCAUCAAAAGUGAUUACUUCCCCCUACCAGUCAGAGAUUGCCAAACUCAGAAUGGAACGUCUUCGUAUUGAGGAAGACAGACUACUGGAGUUGAAACGUCAUGAAGAAAUUGAACGGAUUCGAGGACCAAAUCAUCGAUGGUACGAGUCUAAAGGUCCUGACUUUCAUUACGAGUGUAGUAAAAAUACAGAAAUGAUGAAACAUGAAGACCACUGGGAAGAGUUGGUGGAUUAUCGAAACAAUCUGAUGGAAUGUUCAACAGCUUUCAGGAAGUCGUAUGGAGCAUUUGCCUAACAGGUCUUUCUGUUUUCCAUGUGAACUAUGUAGUCUGUUUGUCAAUUGAGGUCACCGACAUGGGAAAUUCAGACUAGAUGAAUAUUAUCUAUAUAAUGACUUUCCAUUUCUAAAAUACAGAACAUAACAACUGAAUACCUGGUGAAACUUAGUGUUUAUUCAAGCUGACAAUAUUGUAGUUUUAAAGAACGGAUAUAUACAUUUUACUUCAAAAAGAAAAGGUUUCAUUCAGUCAAUAUUUCACGAAAAGAGCUGACACCAUUAUGUUACAAAUAGUGAGAAGUUUUACUGAAUUAUGAAGUUGUAAAAAUAGGAAAUAUAUCAUACCUGGUCAUGCAUUACUGCUUUUGUUAUGGAUGCUAUUUGCUUGUAGUUUUUUUUGUGUUCUUAUUUGUAUAUUUAUUGCAUUAAUGUCUUGACAUUAUAAUGUCUUUUACUAUCAGUUCAUUUUUGUGUGUGUUUAUCUUGUUCUAAGUGUCUACAGGACUGUGUUUCCACAAUUCCACACAAAGAAAUAGGUACAAUAUCUUUAUGAAUCAUAAUUGUCUGGUUAUAAAUAAUAGAUAAUGCUUAUUAAAAUCCUACAGGGUAAGAUAACUCUGGCUAUAAAUAAGAGAUAAAUGCAUAUACAAUUUGUGUUGGGAAAGAUAACUCUGGUUAUAAAUUAUAGAUGUUGGUUAUUAAAAUUGUGUUUGGGGAAGGUACUAUUAAAUGAAUCACAACAGUAUGAGAGGUACAAUAUGGUAUAUUUUCGAAAUUUACCUGACAAAUAAUUUUAAUUAUAUUCCAUUUACAUGUACAAUAUUAUGCUUGUCAUAUAUAUGCGAAGUAUUAUAGUGAUGUUUUUAAAGUUAAUAUAUUUAUAUGUAGUGAUAAAAUGUAUUUUUGCAAUAUGUGUAAGACACAAAAUAGCAAAGCUGUGAUAUAAAUAUGUAAAAAUGAUUUAACACAAUAAAUUUAAUUGUUAAGUUUUAAAGCCUCGUCACAUAAUGAUGCACACUCAUACAAACUAUGUAUGUGUUUUAUACCAAUGUGUCAAUCGUGGUUGACUGAACCCCACACUAUGUUGUCAAGCUGAAGGUUUCCAGUAACGGAACAUGCAUCCACCCAAUAAUAUAUUAUGGAAUAGUGAAAGGGUCUAUCAGUUAAAAGAAUUCUUUGUAUAAUGACUAUAAAUAUGGAUAAAUAUGUUUUUUUGUAUAUUAAAAUAGGGUUUUUGUGAAUUUACAUUCUGUGACAGAAAAAAACCAAUUAUGCAAAUCUUAGUGUGUUUCCAUACACAUAUAAUUUGUAAUUGACAAUUAAUAACAGGGCAGCAUAUUCCUAUAGCAUUGAACUCAGAAAUAUACAUUUUUUAUUGUACAUGUUUUGAAGUGAUUAUUGAAAAAAACUACAAAUGAAAUGUACACGAUCUGUUUUGGGAAUGAAUAAAUUUGUUUGGAUAUAAAGUGAAUGAUUUUUUUAUCAUAAUGUAUACGGUACAUCAUGUGUGAAGAAUCAGUGCAAUGGUAGAUUGCUUCAUCAAUUAUCAAUUUGACCAAUAACUCAUUGAACUGAUCCUCUAAUAUAUGUCAAGUGUUGAAUCUCAGGGUGAAUCAUUAGUUUUACCUGUUGGAAAAGUACUGUUUAGUAUUCAUUAGUGUGUAAGUUUUGUGAUCCCAAAUGUACAUUGUGCAACAAUGACAGAAGCUUUAGCAAAUAACAAUGAAAAUAUUUAUAUUGUCCUUUAAAUUUCAUAGUACCAAUACACUGUAAUUGUGUAUUCUGUCACGGAAAUAAUAUGAUAUAUGCCCUUAAAAAAGAAAAGAAAGCAUUUUUUUUCUCUCAAUAAAGUUGGUGUACACUUUAAAUAUGCAUAAUAUGCAGCCUUGUUCAGACUUUCUAUUGCUUUCUAUUUUCAAAUACUAGUAUUAUUCAGGACGUUAUGGUGAGGAGAGGGUCAGGAGAAAAAUUGUCUGAAAUAAAAAAUGUUACAGAUUAAUACAACCAGUAAUUUGUCAAAUUUUGAUAAAAAAACAGAAUAUGUUUCCCCCUGCAAUGCUCAGUUACCUAAGCUUUACAAGUGCUAGAUGUUACAUUCCAGUAUUUUUAUUUUUUGAUCAUGUUGCAUGCAUGCUGAUGCCAGUUAUAAUUAACACUUGCUUAUAGUAACCUUGUUGUAGAUUAAACAGAAAGGAAAAUAAAUAAUUGCACAU